ACCUCAUUGAGACACCCCAGCAAUUGAUUGGCUCCUUUCGGAGUUGCUGUUCCAGGCUGCUUAGCUGCGCUGGAGUAACACAAAGGAGCUGGCUCACAAGAUAUCAACUGUAAAGAUGGGAGACAUACAACAAACAUGGAAUAAUGGUCUGGUGACCCCCCGGGAUGACCCAAAAGGAAAUGAACCGGUCAAGAGGGCACCUGGCAUAAGGAAGAGCCUCAAAGGCAGUUUGGUUUUGCUCACUCGCCCAUCCUAUGGAAGAGACCGGCUAGCUGUACAGUUGUCCUGCUGACUCUCCUCAGGGAGGUAGUUCCUGCCUACAUGCAUCGCUGUGGGGGUUCCCCCUCCACCAACAGGCCAGGUCCUUACAUAUGUGUGAAUCCUUACCAAACACGCUGCGUGGUCCUGCUUCUGUGUGUUUCGAUGACUGUGGCUUAAUCCUACACUGUAGCUCUGUCUGUCGCCUCUUCUGUGGCUCAGUACCCAGAGAUCUGCGGAGCUGUCUCUUAGCUGCUUCUGACUGUAUGGAAUCCACCAGAAUGCACUUCUCUUACUCAUGCACUUCCGCAGUGGAGGACAUCUAAGUGUCCUCCACACCUGUGGUACCCAGAAGCACCACUGUAAUAGCACCAUGAGCAUCAGUAUCCUUUAUUCUGUGUGAGGGGGAUCUGGGAUGGAUGUUGGAGGGUGGGGCUUGUUGGGUCACUGUGAUGGCUAAUUUUUACUGUCAGCUUGAGAUGCUUGGGAAGAGGAAACUUCAGUUGAAGAAUUGCCUCCUGGUCUUUUGGGUUGUCUGCAGCACAAUUUUUUUUUUUUUUUUUGACUGCUAAUUGAGAAGGAGAACCCAGCCUACGAUCGGCAUUGUGAUUCCGGGGCAAGUGAGCCUGGGCUAUACAAGAAAGGUAGCUAAAUGUGAACCAGGGUGCAAGCAGUGUUCCUCCAUGAUUUCUGCUUCAAUCUCCUGCCCUGCUUGAGUUCCUGCCCUGACUUCCGUCAACGAUGGACUAUAAACCGGACAGCUGAGCCACGAGGGUCCAGAGCCACAGGCUUUGGAGAAACCGGCCUCAGUCCCUGGGGACAUCCUCACUAUUCCUGCCCAAGGCAAGUAAGUAGCCAGCUGGUAGUUGAGGUGAGCAAGGCCUAGGAUGAAGGAAGCCUUACCUGACCUGGAGUGGGUGGCCAGAGUAGGAGUGGGGGGUAGAGUGGGGUGGAAGGGGGUGGUUAGAGUGGGUGGUAAGAGUGGGAGGUAAGAUGGAAUGUAGGGGGUGUGACCAUGAAGGCAGGAGAUGGGUGAGAACACAGGUCACUGAAAGAGCCAGUCCAGUUUGGUGGCAUGCAGACGAAGUCCCAGCUACAGGGACAGUGGCUCGGCUGCCUGUGCUUAUAAGCUCAAAGGCAGCCUUGGCAACGUUGGUGAGCUCAAACAGCAACAGGGAAAACCACAGAAGAAGCAGUGGAGAAACUGAGAGAGUAGUAACUUUGCAGAAGCCUCCAUGCAGGAGUCUAAACACCAUGGUUGUUGCAGGAACCAUGCUCACCUGCUUUCCCUUUGAGUGAGGAAAACUAAGGUUCAUUUUCCUGAAAAUCAAAGCCAAGAGCUUCCAAAUAGAUCCAGUCAGCCCUCUCCAUUUCCCAGGAGCCUUCGAGUUCCAGCUCGGGGGCACAGUUCUUACAGGGGACUUUCAAGCAAGUGACACUGUAGAUAGGAACACCCCAAUGCCCAGACGACCCACCCGACCCACCUGGAAGCUUUCCUCCUCACAUCAGAGACACACUGUGGCCCCGGGUGAGGAGACAAGCAGAGCCUCUGCUGAUUUACAUAUUCUGCAUAACUUUGCAUAAAGCAUUGACAAGUCUCAGAGCCUGUGCAAGAAAACUAAUUAGAGGGGCACCUUGUCCUAAGAGGAGAGGGGAUAUGUUUGUAUCUCAGCUGCUUGCUCGGUACAGCUGUAGGAGCUGGCUUGUGGUUAUAAAACUGGCUGGCUUGGAGGCUGGCCUUGAACUUGCUAUAUAACCAAGGAUAACCCUGGGCUUCUGAUCCUCCUAUCUCUGCCAUUAAGUUCUGGCAUGACAGAUGAGUACCACCAGCCAGGUUUACGAGGUACUGGGAAUCAUGCAUGCUAAGCUCUCUCUACCAAGGGAGGGAGGGAGGGAGGAGUGGAGAGAUGAUGAGCCAAGUCUUGUGGGUCCGGCUGUCCAAUAUGCUUGGCACAAAAUCCAGGACACUUUUAGUACUCAGUGAACAUGUAGGUAUUGAGUGAGUCUGACCCACGAACAGCCGAAUUUCCCACCUGAUCUACUUUACAUUCUAUGAAUUUGUUUUGCACAUGUGUACAAGUGUGAGUCUGGAGCUGGUGUUCACAUGCCAUAGUGAAUAUGUAGAGGUCAGAGGACACGUUUUGGGCACGGGACUUCUCCUUCCACCAUGUGGGACAAAGAAAUCAAUCUCAGGUGGCCAGCCUUGGGGGGCAGCAAGCAUCUGUGUCCUCUGAGCCAUCUCACCAGCUGCCUGAUAUUAAUGCCAGCAAUGUCUCUCUCGCUUUCAGCCAGUUCUUGGUAGGUGUUUACUUUGCAUAGGAAAUGGCCCCUAUUCCUACGUCACCAGGGAAACCGCUGGUCUCCAAAAGAUUGUCCUCCCCAAAAGGUCAUCCCCCAUGGAGAAGCUCAUGAGGCAAAAUUUUGCACACAAACUAAAGACAGAAACCAGUGAGAAGCCGAGGCAGACAAGGUAUAGGACUCUGUAGGGCUGGGACAUUUUCUUAUUUCCUUCUAGACUUUUCCCAAACUGCCUCCCCACACCCUUUGGACGUAGAUUUGGGACAUCCCCUGGUUCUUUUAUUACUCUGCACAAGGCCUUCGAGGACAAAGGGGGCCUGGGGUUCUGAAGAUCGAUGCUGCUCCAAUACUCUCCCCCUGCGGCAAGCUCCUGACACAUCUUCUCCACAAGUAAUAAUUAGAGACAGAAAUAUCUGACCUACUUACGACUCCACAAAUACACACAUUUGGUGGCUUCCACAUCAACUUGGGGGCCGCCAGAGGAGGCUGGCUGAGAACAGUUUUGUUUUAUUGUUAACCUGGCGCUUCUCAUUCCUGCCCACCUUCCCUCCUCUUCUCCUCCAUCCCUCAGCUGCCUCCUCCCUGACCAGGUACAUUUUGGGGACCAGAGUGGUUACUUUUACGGCUAGUUCCCAUGAGCAGAGGGGUUUAGGUGUCUGUCUUUAGUAGGAUGGGUUCUACAGAGAACCACAGGUAUUCCAGGCUGGACUCAAACUCACUAUGUAGUCAAGGGUGACCUUGAAUUUCCUGCCUCCACCCCUCAAGUGCUGGGAUUACAGGCAAGUGUCUCAUCCUGCAGGUUUUAUGCCUCAAUGGGACUCAAACCCUGGGUUUCAUGUGUGCUAGGCAGGCACGGUCUAGGAGGCUCCCCCAGCCUUGUACUAAGCCCAUCCUCACUUGGUCAAGUCUGAGCUUCCCACGUAUCACCCACAUGCCUCCCCCUUAUCACCAGAAUGAGACUGAGUGUUGAUGACAAUGGCAGAGACUGCAUGCCUCCUGCCGAGCCAUGAAGUCACUCCACACAAAGGAGUGUCAAGAAGGCACCCGGACCUUAAAGAAAGUGGGGUUGGUGAAACAUGUAGCAAUGAGUAGGUAAAUUAACGUGGUAGAAGAUGGGGACCUUCAUCUGGUUAGAGGACAUCAGAGAGGGUUUGAAGAAGCUGUGCACCUAAGCCCUGUAUCAUUAGUCUCUUCCAGGUGAUGAAUGAAAAGCCACUGUCACCCAAAGAGCAACUGGGGCAAAGGCACAGAGGGGGUUCCGAACCUCUCUCUAUGGAGAACAGGGCAACUCACAUCAUGGCUGCCAGGAAGCAGAGAAGAAUCCAGGAAAGGACCAAGGCAAGAGACAGCCCCAAGGACACCCAUGACAACUGCUGCCUAAGGCCUCAGCCUGCUCUUCCCUUCCCCCAAUAAUGCUCUCCUAUAAUGAAGCCAUGAGCAGGCUGAUCCAUUGAUCUAGUCAGAGUCUUCAUGGUCUAAUCCUCUCUAGAAAUGCUCCGAGAUACCCCAGUGUUAUAUUUUACUAGAUGCUCCUGAACAUCUCUUAACCAAUAAAGGUGACACUCAAGAUUAGCCAGCACACCCUGCUAAUAGGAUCUUGGCAUACCAGGUGGACGGUAGGGUUUGUGGUGACCCGCGUCUGCUCUGCCACAGUGCUCGGGCCACUCAGGGAGGUAGGAUGUGGGAAGUUUUGAUUGCAUGUACUCCACACCAACGCCUGGCGGGUGUCAGGCUAUGGGAAGCUGGGGGACACUGCUCUGGGAGUGGGGGAGCACAGUCUGAGGUCCUGAGGACAGCUGGAGCUGGGUCAGGGGUCCCCAGGCCUGCAGGGAGGCCAGGGCUGCCUGGUUCUCAGGAUCUUGGGCACCAGCUGGGGUCGAAGGGAAAAGAGGGGAGAGCUCUGGCUGGGCCCUGCCGGGAGGAGAGUACUGGUUUGUUCGGUUGGUGGCUUGGCUUGGUGGAGGUCAUGACUAGGAACACUGAGAAGACUUCUGUGGGAGAUUAGGUGGCCGGCUCUUUAGACAAAGGGUUGUUCCAUUGCUCUCCAUGGCGGAUCCCAAUGAAAAAAGACAGUC
Mus musculus (house mouse) is the source of this 4631-nucleotide long non-coding RNA. RefSeq annotates it as predicted gene, 30699. NCBI's taxonomy places the organism in Eukaryota, Metazoa, Chordata, Mammalia, Rodentia, Muridae. The transcript has 4 exons. The record is from RefSeq and is a predicted model, not a curated record.